ACAACUUUCAGCAACGGAUCUCUUGGCUCUCGCAUCGAUGAAGAACGCAGCGAAAUGCGAUAAGUAAUGUGAAUUGCAGAAUUCAGHGAAUCAUCGAAUCUUUGAACGCACCUUGCGCUCCUUGGUAUUCCGAGGAGCAUGCCUGHUUGAGAGYCAUGAA
RNAcentral lists this ribosomal RNA (160 nucleotides) under Polyporus ciliatus. RNAcentral's name for it is "5.8S rRNA". It matches the Rfam family "5.8S ribosomal RNA". From Rfam's summary of the family: 5.8S ribosomal RNA (5.8S rRNA) is a component of the large subunit of the eukaryotic ribosome. It is transcribed by RNA polymerase I as part of the 45S precursor that also contains 18S and 28S rRNA. The record is from RNAcentral. Lineage: Eukaryota; Fungi; Basidiomycota; Agaricomycetes; Polyporales; Polyporaceae.